Scaptodrosophila lebanonensis is the source of this 151-nucleotide long non-coding RNA. RefSeq lists it as uncharacterized. Lineage: Eukaryota; Metazoa; Arthropoda; Insecta; Diptera; Drosophilidae. The record is from RefSeq and is a predicted model, not a curated record. The transcript has 3 exons.
GAGAAAUUACACACAAGUGAUGAUGACAACUCAACUACAAGUAGCAACUCUUUCAAGUUAUUUCACUGAUUAAUGUGCAGCUAUAAUGGACCGUGCAUUUAAAUCACAAACCCAGGCGGCUACUAGCAACAGCAUUUACUCCAUGUAUGCC